GUGCCCGGACCCUGUCGCACC
RNAcentral lists this small nuclear RNA (21 nucleotides) under Arabidopsis thaliana (thale cress). RNAcentral describes it as "snRNA_18685". Lineage: Eukaryota; Viridiplantae; Streptophyta; Magnoliopsida; Brassicales; Brassicaceae. The record is from RNAcentral.